This 1242-nucleotide ribosomal RNA is filed under the name Alectorobius rioplatensis. RNAcentral describes it as "16S ribosomal RNA". Lineage: Eukaryota; Metazoa; Arthropoda; Arachnida; Ixodida; Argasidae. The record is from RNAcentral.
UUUUAUGGAAUUGAUUGCUAUAUUUUAUAUUUAUAAGUUAGAUAUAUUGAUUUUAAUAAUGUGAUUGAUUAAGAUUUAGUAGCAGUAGUAUAAAGUAUCGUGAGAAAUUUUUGAAAAAUUGAAAAAUGAUUUAUAUGGAAGUAAUAUAUUUGUACCUUUUGUAUUAGGGAUUAACUAAAAAAGUUAUGAAUUUAUAAUUCCCGAAAAAUUUUGAGUUACUUUUAAUUUUAAGCAUUGUUGCAGAAAUGUUUGGCAUUUGGAGUAGAAAUGAAAUUUUUGUCGAAAAGUUUGAUAUCUGGUUAUUUUUAUAAAAAUUAUAUAUUUUAUAUAAGUUUUAUAUAUGAUAAAAGUUAUAAAUUUUCUUUUUAGGGAUAAGCUUAAGGAGGUUAUAUAUAGUGGAUAGGGAAUAGAUUGAGGGUUUAGAAUUUACUUAUUUAUUUGUAAUAAAAUAGUAAUAUUUGUUAAAUAAUGAUUUUAUUUUUACAUUUUUAUAUAAUUUGAUUUAUGAGAGUUAUUGUUAAUAUAAGUAUAAAUUUUUAAUGAAUGUUUAUAUAAUUAAUUUGAAUUGUUGGGAUUUAUUAGGUUGAUAGGAAUUCGGCAAAAUGAAUUUCUGACUGUUUAACAAAAACAUAGUAUUUUGGGUUAAUGAAAUAUUUAAUCUGCUCAAUGAUUAUUAAAUUGCUGUGGUAUUUUGACUAUACGAAGGUAUUGAAAUAAGGCUUUUAUUGGGUGCUAAGAGAAUGGUUGAACAGGGAUUUACUUUCUUUUAACUUUAAAUGGAAUUUAAUUUAAAAGUGAAGAAGCUUUUAUUAAUUUUUGGGACAAGAAGACCCUAUGAAUUUUUUUUAUAAUGUUAUUUAUUGUUUUUAAGUAUAAAAAAUAAAGUAUCUUUAUAAGUUGAUUGGGGUGAUUUUUAAAUAAUGUUUAACUUUAAAAUAGGGAAAUUGGAACCAUAAUGUGUGGUUGUUUAAUCAAAAUACUCUAGGGAUAACAGCGUAAUUAUUUUGGAUAGUUCAUAUAGAUAAAAUAGUUUGCGACCUCGAUGUUGGAUUAAGAUACUUAUAUAAUGUAGUAGUUAUAUUAAGGAGUUUGCUCAACUUUUAAAAUCUUACAUGAUCUGAGUUCAGACCGGCGUAAGCCAGGUUGGUUUCUAUCUAGAUAGAUAAUUAUUUAUUUUUAUAGUACGAAAGGAAUUAGAAAUUUAAAGUUUUUAAGAAAGGUAGUUAAAAAUAAUUUUUAAUU